RNAcentral lists this ribosomal RNA (253 nucleotides) under uncultured bacterium. Its description in RNAcentral is "partial 16S ribosomal RNA". It matches the Rfam family "Bacterial small subunit ribosomal RNA", at positions 524 to 776 of the family's 1533-position model. The record is from RNAcentral.
UACGUAGGGUGCAAGCGUUGUCCGGAAUUACUGGGCGUAAAGCGUGCGCAGGCGGCUUUGCAAGACAGAUGUGAAAUCCCCGGGCUCAACCUGGGAACUGCAUUUGUGACUGCAAGGCUGGAGUACGGUAGAGGGGGAUGGAAUUCCGCGUGUAGCAGUGAAAUGCGUAGAUAUGCGGAGGAACACCGAUGGCGAAGGCAAUCCCCUGGACCUGUACUGACGCUCAUGCACGAAAGCGUGGGGAGCAAACAGG